This 253-nucleotide unclassified non-coding RNA is filed under the name uncultured Actinomycetes bacterium. Its description in RNAcentral is "uncultured actinobacterium contains 16S-23S intergenic spacer region". It matches the Rfam family "Bacterial small subunit ribosomal RNA", at positions 524 to 776 of the family's 1533-position model. The record is from RNAcentral. Lineage: Bacteria; Bacillati; Actinomycetota; Actinomycetes.
UACGUAGGGCGCAAGCGUUGUCCGGAAUUAUUGGGCGUAAAGAGCUCGUAGGCGGCUUGUCGCGUCGGUUGUGAAAGCCCGGGGCUUAACCCCGGGUCUGCAGUCGAUACGGGCAGGCUGGAGUUCGGUAGGGGAGAUCGGAAUUCCUGGUGUAGCGGUGAAAUGCGCAGAUAUCAGGAGGAACACCGGUGGCGAAGGCGGAUCUCUGGGCCGAUACUGACGCUGAGGAGCGAAAGCGUGGGGAGCGAACAGG